RNAcentral lists this ribosomal RNA (446 nucleotides) under uncultured bacterium. RNAcentral describes it as "SSU rRNA". It matches the Rfam family "Bacterial small subunit ribosomal RNA", at positions 26 to 518 of the family's 1533-position model. The record is from RNAcentral.
AGAGCGAACGCUGGCGGCAGGCCUAACACAUGCAAGUCGAGCGCCCGUAGCAAUACGGGAGCGGCAGACGGGAUAGUAACACGUGGGAGCGCGCCCUUCGGUUCGGAAUAACUCAGGGAAACUUGAGCUAAUACCGGAUACGCCCUUACGGGGAAAGAUUUAUUGCCGAAGGAACGGCCCGCGUCCGAUUAGCUAGUUGGUGAGGUAAUGGCUCACCAAGGCGACGAUCGGUAGCUGGUCUGAGAGGAUGACCAGCAUCACUGGGACUGAGACACGGCCCAGACUCCUACGGGAGGCAGCAGUGGGGAAUAUUGGACAAUGGGCGCAAGCCUGAUCCAGCCAUGCCGCGUGGAUGAUGAAGGCCUUAGGGUUGUAAAGUCCUUUUAACGGGAAGAUAAUGACGGUACCCGUAGAAUAAGCCCGGCUAACUUCGUGCCAGCAGCCGC